RNAcentral lists this ribosomal RNA (3008 nucleotides) under Haemophilus influenzae. RNAcentral's name for it is "bacterial LSU rRNA". It matches the Rfam family "Bacterial large subunit ribosomal RNA". Lineage: Bacteria; Pseudomonadati; Pseudomonadota; Gammaproteobacteria; Pasteurellales; Pasteurellaceae. The record is from RNAcentral.
UUAAGUGACUAAGCGUACAAGGUGGAUGCCUUGGCAAUCAGAGGCGAAGAAGGACGUGCUAAUCUGCGAAAAGCUUGGAUGAGUCGAUAAGAGGCGUUUAAUCCAAGAUAUCCGAAUGGGGAAACCCAGUAGAUGAAGAAUCUACUAUCAACAAGUGAAUUCAUAGCUUGUUGAGGCAAACCGGGAGAACUGAAACAUCUAAGUACCCCGAGGAAAAGAAAUCAACCGAGAUUUCGUCAGUAGCGGCGAGCGAAAGCGAAAGAGCCAGUAAGUGAUAGCAGUAUAGUUAGGAGAAUGUGUUGGGAAGCACAAUCAAAGAGGGUGAUAAUCCCGUAUCUAAAAACCAUAUUGUGGUACUAAGCUAACGAGAAGUAGGGCGGGACACGUGAUAUCCUGUUUGAAGAAGGGGGGACCAUCCUCCAAGGCUAAAUACUCCUGAUUGACCGAUAGUGAACCAGUACUGUGAAGGAAAGGCGAAAAGAACCCCGGUGAGGGGAGUGAAAUAGAACCUGAAACCUUGUACGUACAAGCAGUGGGAGCCUGAAAGGGUGACUGCGUACCUUUUGUAUAAUGGGUCAGCGACUUAUAUUUUGUAGCGAGGUUAACUGAAUAAGGGAGCCGAAGGGAAACCGAGUCUUAACUGGGCGAAUAGUUGCAAGGUAUAGACCCGAAACCCGGUGAUCUAGCCAUGGGCAGGUUGAAGGUUGGGUAACACUAACUGGAGGACCGAACCGACUAAUGUUGAAAAAUUAGCGGAUGACUUGUGGCUGGGGGUGAAAGGCCAAUCAAACCGGGAGAUAGCUGGUUCUCCCCGAAAUCUAUUUAGGUAGAGCCUUGAGGUGACACCUUUGGGGGUAGAGCACUGUUUCGGCUAGGGGUCCAUCCCGGAUUACCAACCCGAUGCAAACUACGAAUACCAAAGAGUGAUACUCAGGAGACACACGGCGGGUGCUAACGUCCGUCGUGGAGAGGGAAACAACCCAGACCGCCAGCUAAGGUCCCCAAGUCUAUAUUAAGUGGGAAACGAAGUGGGAAGGCUUAGACAGCUAGGAUGUUGGCUUAGAAGCAGCCAUCAUUUAAAGAAAGCGUAAUAGCUCACUAGUCGAGUCGGCCUGCGCGGAAGAUGUAACGGGGCUCAAAUAUAGCACCGAAGCUGCGGCAUCAGGCGUAUCACUAAUACGCCUUACGAUUAACAAGCUAGAAUGGCGCGAAGCGACAUGAAAGGUUGUUCAAGCGACCCGAACGUUGAGUCGGGUAUCUUUGAGUGAGGAUGAUUAGUGAUACGCCUGUUGGGUAGGGGAGCGUUGUGUAAGCGGAAGAAGGUUCAUCGAGAGGUGGGCUGGACGUAUCACAAGUGCGAAUGCUGACAUAAGUAACGAUAAAACGGGUGAAAAACCCGUUCGCCGGAAGACCAAGGGUUCCUGUCCAACGUUAAUCGGGGCAGGGUGAGUCGGCUCCUAAGGCGAGGCUGAAAAGCGUAGUCGAUGGGAAACAGGUUAAUAUUCCUGUACUUGGUAAAGCUGCGAUGUGGGGACGGAGUAGGUUAGGUUAUCGCACUGUUGGAUAUGUGCGUUUAAGUUGGUAGGUGGGAAGUUUAGGCAAAUCCGGACUUCCUUAACACAGAGAGAUGAUGACGAGGCUCUACGGAGCUGAAGUAACUGAUACCACACUUCCAGGAAAAGCCACUAAGCGAAAGGCUUUACUAAACCGUACUAAAAACCGACACAGGUGGUCAGGUAGAGAAUACUCAGGCGCUUGAGAGAACUCGGGUGAAGGAACUAGGCAAAAUAGCACCGUAACUUCGGGAGAAGGUGCGCCGGCGUAGAUUGUAGUCCCUAGCGGGCGAAGGUUGAACCGGUCGAAGAUACCAGCUGGCUGCAACUGUUUAUUAAAAACACAGCACUCUGCAAACACGAAAGUGGACGUAUAGGGUGUGAUGCCUGCCCGGUGCUGGAAGGUUAAUUGAUGGUGUCAUCGAAAGAGAAGCACCUGAUCGAAGCCCCAGUAAACGGCGGCCGUAACUAUAACGGUCCUAAGGUAGCGAAAUUCCUUGUCGGGUAAGUUCCGACCUGCACGAAUGGCAUAAUGAUGGCCAGGCUGUCUCCACCCGAGACUCAGUGAAAUUGAAAUCGCCGUGAAGAUGCGGUGUACCCGCGGCUAGACGGAAAGACCCCGUGAACCUUUACUAUAGCUUGACACUGAACAUUGAAUUUUGAUGUGUAGGAUAGGUGGGAGACUUAGAAGCAGUCACGCCAGUGAUUGUGGAGUCAUCCUUGAAAUACCACCCUUUAACGUUUGAUGUUCUAACGAAGAUUGCGGAACGCGGUCUCGGACAGUGUCUGGUGGGUAGUUUGACUGGGGCGGUCUCCUCCCAAAGCGUAACGGAGGAGCACGAAGGUUUGCUAAUCACGGUCGGACAUCGUGAGGUUAGUGCAAUGGUAUAAGCAAGCUUAACUGCGAGACAGACAAGUCGAGCAGGUACGAAAGUAGGUCAUAGUGAUCCGGUGGUUCUGAAUGGAAGGGCCAUCGCUCAACGGAUAAAAGGUACUCCGGGGAUAACAGGCUGAUACCGCCCAAGAGUUCAUAUCGACGGCGGUGUUUGGCACCUCGAUGUCGGCUCAUCACAUCCUGGGGCUGAAGUAGGUCCCAAGGGUAUGGCUGUUCGCCAUUUAAAGUGGUACGCGAGCUGGGUUUAGAACGUCGUGAGACAGUUCGGUCCCUAUCUGCCGUGGGCGUAGGAGAAUUGGUUGGGGCUGCUCCUAGUACGAGAGGACCGGAGUGGACGCACCACUGGUGUUCCGGUUGUGUCGCCAGACGCAUUGCCGGGUAGCUAAGUGCGGAAGAGAUAAGUGCUGAAAGCAUCUAAGCACGAAACUUGCCAAGAGAUGAGUUCUCCCAAUCUAAGAGAUAGUAAGGGUUGUUGUAGACUACGACGUAGAUAGGUCUGGUGUGUAAGUGUAGUGAUACAUUGAGCUAACAGAUACUAAUUGCCCGAGAGGCUUAACUAU